RNAcentral lists this ribosomal RNA (402 nucleotides) under uncultured bacterium. RNAcentral's name for it is "bacterial SSU rRNA". It matches the Rfam family "Bacterial small subunit ribosomal RNA", at positions 29 to 431 of the family's 1533-position model. The record is from RNAcentral.
AUUGAACGCUGGCGGAAUGCUUUACACAUGCAAGUCGAACGGCAGCACGGGGGCAACCCUGGUGGCGAGUGGCGAACGGGUGAGUAAUACAUCGGAACGUGCCCAAUCGUGGGGGAUAACGUAGCGAAAGCUACGCUAAUACCGCAUACGAUCUACGGAUGAAAGCGGGGGAUCGCAAGACCUCGCGCGAAUGGAGCGGCCGUUGGCAGAUUAGGUAGUUGGUGGGGUAAAGGCUCACCAAGCCGACGAUCUGUAGCUGGUCUGAGAGGACGACCAGCCACACUGGGACUGAGACACGGCCCAGACUCCUACGGGAGGCAGCAGUGGGGAAUUUUGGGACAAUGGGCGCAAGCCUGAUCCAGCCAUUCCGCGUGCAGGAUGAAGGCCUUCGGGUUGUAAACU